GCUCUCGUGUGAGCGCGGCCCCGCGAGUCCCCGCCGGGCUCGGGGAGGCUGCGAGAGGGGAGCGCCUGACGUGGCCAAGGUCUUCCGGCAGCGCGGCCUCUCCCGCCGUCGCGCUCCGGCCCAGGGGUGGGGGGCGCACCAGGAGAGAGCCCGUCCGGAGUGGGCACUGGCGGUGGGGGGGCUGCUGUCCAGGGGCUCGCUGGCCACGCUGCGCCGGUCCCCUUAACAGAGCUGCGCGUCUUCGAGUGGGGCUGCAGUCGGGUCUCGAUGGGCAGUGGCCUUGGGCGGUGGUGGAAGACUCAAUAAAGCCCUGGGGCAAAGCUGGGCGAGGACAAGCAGGUGGCAGGCCUGGAGCCCCCCAGUGACAGCGGGUUCGCUGAGACCCUCCGAUGUACUGCUUAUGGCUGUGAACAUGCAUUUAAGAUGCCUGAGAGAACAUAAUGCACCAGCGACACUGUAAUGAUGACCAUCAGGAGGAUAAUACCGAGAGACUUAGCCAGGACCCACAGACCAAACCAGUCGGUGUCAAAUAAAUCAAAGGAAGUACCUGAAGGGGCAUCAAUCUA
This is a long non-coding RNA of Hipposideros armiger (great roundleaf bat), 566 nucleotides long. RefSeq lists it as uncharacterized. The record is from RefSeq and is a predicted model, not a curated record. The transcript has 2 exons. NCBI's taxonomy places the organism in Eukaryota, Metazoa, Chordata, Mammalia, Chiroptera, Hipposideridae.